GACGAACGCUGGCGGCGUGCCUAAUACAUGCAAGUAGAACGCACAGUUUAUACCGUAGCUUGCUACACCAUAGACUGUGAGUUGCGAACGGGUGAGUAACGCGUAGGUAACCUGCCUGGUAGCGGGGGAUAACUACUGGAAACGAUAGCUAAUACCGCAUAAUAUUAAUUAUUGCAUGAUAAUUAAUUGAAAGGUGCAAUUGCACCACUACCAGAUGGACCUGCGUUGUAUUAGCUAGUAGGUGAGGUAACGGCUCACCUAGGCGACGAUACAUAGCCGACCUGAGAGGGUGAUCGGCCACACUGGGACUGAGACACGGCCCAGACUCCUACGGGAGGCAGCAGUAGGGAAUCUUCGGCAAUGGACGAAAGUCUGACCGAGCAACGCCGCGUGAGUGAAGAAGGUUUUCGGAUCGUAAAGCUCUGUUGUAAGAGAAGAACGGGUGUGAGAGUGGAAAGUUCACACUGUGACGGUAUCUUACCAGAAAGGGACGGCUAACUACGUG
RNAcentral lists this ribosomal RNA (505 nucleotides) under uncultured bacterium. RNAcentral describes it as "partial 16S ribosomal RNA". It matches the Rfam family "Bacterial small subunit ribosomal RNA", at positions 28 to 507 of the family's 1533-position model. The record is from RNAcentral.